CCUUCGAUAGCUCAGUUGGUAGAGCGGAGGACUGUAGGUGGGAUGAUGGCAAUCCCUUAGGUCGCUGGGUUCGACUCCGGCUCGAAGGA
RNAcentral lists this transfer RNA (89 nucleotides) under Danio rerio (zebrafish). It matches the Rfam family "tRNA". Rfam says of the family: Transfer RNA (tRNA) molecules are approximately 80 nucleotides in length. Their secondary structure includes four short double-helical elements and three loops (D, anti-codon, and T loops). Lineage: Eukaryota; Metazoa; Chordata; Actinopteri; Cypriniformes; Danionidae. The record is from Rfam by way of RNAcentral.